Elgaria multicarinata webbii is the source of this 72-nucleotide small nucleolar RNA. RefSeq annotates it as small nucleolar RNA U3. The record is from RefSeq and is a predicted model, not a curated record. The transcript has a single exon. NCBI's taxonomy places the organism in Eukaryota, Metazoa, Chordata, Lepidosauria, Squamata, Anguidae.
AAGACUAUACUUUCAGGGAUCAUUUCUAUAGUAUCCAACUAGAGAAAUGCAUUUGAAAGUGGUCGGUUGAGU